UAGAUGCUCAGUUAAUGUUCGUUGAGUGGGU
RNAcentral lists this non-coding RNA (31 nucleotides) under Rattus norvegicus (Norway rat). Lineage: Eukaryota; Metazoa; Chordata; Mammalia; Rodentia; Muridae. The record is from RNAcentral.